This 464-nucleotide ribosomal RNA is filed under the name uncultured bacterium. Its description in RNAcentral is "partial 16S ribosomal RNA". It matches the Rfam family "Bacterial small subunit ribosomal RNA", at positions 28 to 506 of the family's 1533-position model. The record is from RNAcentral.
GACGAACGCUGGCGGCGUGCUUAACACAUGCAAGUCGUACGGUAAGGCCCUUUCGGGGGUACACGAGUGGCGAACGGGUGAGUAACACGUGAGUAACCUGCCCACAACUUUGGGAUAACGCUAGGAAACUGGUGCUAAUACUGGAUAUGUGCUCCUGCUGCAUGGUGGGGGUUGGAAAGCUCCGGCGGUUGUGGAUGGACUCGCGGCCUAUCAGCUUGUUGGUGGGGUAGUGGCCUACCAAGGCGGCGACGGGUAGCCGGCCUGAGAGGGUGACCGGCCACAUUGGGACUGAGAUACGGCCCAGACUCCUACGGGAGGCAGCAGUGGGGAAUAUUGCACAAUGGUCGCAAGCCUGAUGCAGCAACGCCGCGUGCGGGAUGACGGCCUUCGGGUUGUAAACCGCUUUCAGCAGGGACGAAGCUUUUUGUGACGGUACCUGCAGAAGAAGCACCGGCUAACUACGU